UGCCAGACUCCUACGGGAGGCAGCAGUGAGGAAUAUUGGUCAAUGGGCGGGAGCCUGAACCAGCCAAGCCGCGUGAAGGAAGAAGGCGCCAGGCGUCGUAAACUUCUUUUGUCGGGGAACAAAGGGCGCCACGUGUGGCGUUGUGAGUGUACCCGAAGAAAAAGCAUCGGCUAACUCCGUGCCAGCAGCCGCGGUAAUACGGAGGAUGCGAGCGUUAUCCGGAUUUAUUGGGUUUAAAGGGUGCGUAGGCGGGCUUUUAAGUCAGCGGUAAAAAUUCGGGGCUCAACCCCGUCCGGCCGUUGAAACUGGGGGCCUUGAGUGGGCGAGAAGAAGGCGGAAUGCGUGGUGUAGCGGUGAAAUGCAUAGAUAUAACGCAGAACCCCGAUUGCGAAGGCAGCCUUCCGGCGCCCUACUGACGCUGAGGCACGAAAGUGCGGGGAUCGAACAGGAUUAGAUACCCUAGUACAA
RNAcentral lists this ribosomal RNA (468 nucleotides) under uncultured bacterium. RNAcentral's name for it is "bacterial SSU rRNA". It matches the Rfam family "Bacterial small subunit ribosomal RNA", at positions 329 to 795 of the family's 1533-position model. The record is from RNAcentral.